RNAcentral lists this ribosomal RNA (253 nucleotides) under uncultured bacterium. RNAcentral describes it as "partial 16S ribosomal RNA". It matches the Rfam family "Bacterial small subunit ribosomal RNA", at positions 524 to 776 of the family's 1533-position model. The record is from RNAcentral.
UACGAAGGGUGCAAGCGUUACUCGGAAUUACUGGGCGUAAAGCGUGCGUAGGUGGUUUGUUAAGUCUGUUGUGAAAGCCCCGGGCUUAACCUGGGAACUGCGUUUGAUACGGAUGGGCUAGAGUUCGGGAGAGGAGAGUGGAAUUCCCAGUGUAGAGGUGAAAUUCGUAGAUAUUGGGAAGAACACCGGUGGCGAAGGCGGCUCUCUGGACCGAGACUGACGCUGAGGCGCGAAAGCGUGGGGAGCAAACAGG